AGGUUGAGAAGCGCCGGCCCCGUCGGAUGUCACGGGCUCGCUGCGCUGGAGCGGCGCUCCGCCAAACUGCGGCUCCGGCCGCCUCUGCCGGCUUGUUUCUUGUUAAAGGAAGGGUUUCGGCCACCCCUCCUGCCCCCAGUGGGUGUUGGCUAUUUGUCCUGAAAAUAGAUUGUGACAACACUCGAAAUUUGAAAAUGAGGGUGCAUGUGACAGCACGGACCCAACAUGCUCCUUUUGCUGUAGUGGAUCCCACUGCCUGUAUGAAAGCGGUCUGUGUUUCCCAGGAAGGACUCACGAAGGCAACGUCCAGGGAAAUUUUUGUACUGCUGGUUCAUCUGUUCACUUUUCUCAGCACUUUUAUUAGAUGAGGAGACUAGGGCUCACUCCCAGAGAGGAGGUGAGCAACACACCUUUCCUUCUGUAAGGCAGUGUGGGAUCCUGCUGGGAAAACCCAGGUUCCCAGGGGUAAAGCUCGGUGCACAAGCUGGUGAGCUGAGAGGGAUUCAGGACAUCUUGCAGCCCCUUAGGAAGGGCGUCUGGAAGCUGGGAGGAAGUGCAGGAGCCCUCCGGCGAGUGAAGGACGUUUCCUAAGCGGGUACUUAUCCCGCAGGUGGUGGGGGAGGAGAGCAGCCACUUCCCACAGACAUUCACUUCCCUGUCUCUGAGCCUGUUUGGGUGUAGCUCCUGUCGCUGUGUCCAGAAGAACUCUGUAGCCUCGGCUUCCUGUUUUGACAAUGAGAGAGGGAAGUGUCCCAUUACACGGUUAUUGCUAAAGAAUGAACUCUUCCAUCCGAAGUGUCCCCGGCUUCUCUCGAAGAUAGGAAGAGAUGGUGCACAUUUAGCAACAGACUGUGUCAAACUCUGGAGCAGCUCUUGGGUGUUUCUGCUCCUCUGAUUCUCAAACGUGUAUCACCUUUACGUUUUUAAUCUGAAAUAGGAGUUACUGCGAUAAACUGCUGUUAUAACAGCUGGAAGCAUUCGGGCAUCUGCAUUUAAAGGAGUCUGAGGACAGGGACACACAGCAAACCUUCCAGUACUUCCCUCUUAAGUUACCUUUUUCUGGAGGUAAAUUCCCUUGUGUGGGUGGGAAGCUAAUGCCCUCCUUGAGAAGUCAUCACACCUUGUUAAGUUUAAGUGGUCCACUUUUUUCCAGAAGUGCUUUCCAGAGUUGUAUACUACUUGUGCCUGGAAAAGCCUCUUCCUCGUGGAUGUGAAUGCUUUACUGUGGGAUUCAGCUAAUGCUAUCAGACCUACAAAAGUUACAGCAUCACUCAUCAACUCGAUGAGGCUGAAAAAGACUAACUCUCCUUCCAGGGGACACAUGCAGUGACUGCUUUCAGAUAUUCCUGCCAUCUGAAAGGGCAAGUUUCCCAAAAGGAUUUUAGGACUUUGGAUGAGAGCUGGGUACCUAAAUCUCUGGAGGAGUGCAAAGGCUCUGUAUUCUACAACCACUGCAGGCUGAGACACACACAUUUAUAGAGUUAAACAAGUAUUUUAGACCUACCGGCAGGAUUUUGGAUUUUUCGCUGCCAAGAAGCCUUCGCAGUAUGGCCGCGGUCCAAAACUCUAAGGUAACACGUAAUUUCACUCGAGUUUUCGCCGUCAGAUCUUCAAAAACGCUACGAGUCCAGGUUUUUGAGUAUCGUGUAAGUCACCAGCUUUCCCUGCUCAUGAUGGACAUCUGGUGGCAAAGGGGAGAAACUCGGGUGUGUUCCUCGAAGUUUCCCUCGCUGGCAAGUUAGCAAUAAAAUACUUUUUUCUUUGUUUCUCGAACA
RNAcentral lists this long non-coding RNA (1775 nucleotides) under Cyanistes caeruleus (blue tit). RNAcentral's name for it is "lncRNA (ENSCCEG00000002094.1)". The record is from RNAcentral. Lineage: Eukaryota; Metazoa; Chordata; Aves; Passeriformes; Paridae.